GAGUUUGAUCUUGGCUCAGAUUGAACGCUGGCGGAAUGCUUUACACAUGCAAGUCGAGCGGCAGCGCGGGGCAACCUGGCGGCGAGCGGCGAACGGGUGAGUAAUGCAUCGGAACAUGUCCAUGUCGUGGGGGAUAGCCCGGCGAAAGCCGGAUUAAUACCGCAUACGCCCGAGAGGGGAAAGUGGGGGACCGCAAGGCCUCACGCGAUUGGGUUGGCCGAUGUCCGAUUAGCUAGUUGGCGAGGUAAUGGCUCACCAAGGCUCCGAUCGGUAUCCGGCCUGAGAGGGCGGACGGACACACUGGAACUGAGACACGGUCCAGACUCCUACGGGAGGCAGCAGUGGGGAAUUGUUCACAAUGGGCGCAAGCCUGAUGACGCAACGCCGCGUGGAGGAUGAAGACC
This 404-nucleotide ribosomal RNA is filed under the name uncultured beta proteobacterium. RNAcentral's name for it is "bacterial SSU rRNA". It matches the Rfam family "Bacterial small subunit ribosomal RNA", at positions 9 to 416 of the family's 1533-position model. Lineage: Bacteria; Pseudomonadati; Pseudomonadota; Betaproteobacteria. The record is from RNAcentral.